Molecule: ribosomal RNA, 315 nt
Filed under: uncultured Bacteroidales bacterium
Lineage: Bacteria; Pseudomonadati; Bacteroidota; Bacteroidia; Bacteroidales
Description: bacterial SSU rRNA
Rfam family: Bacterial small subunit ribosomal RNA
Source: RNAcentral
GAUAAACGCUAGCGGCAGGCCUAACACAUGCAAGUCGAGCGGCAUCACGAGGUAGCAAUACUUUGGUGGCGAGCGGCGGAAGGGUGCGUAACGCGUGAGCAACAUGCCCGUGGCAGGGGGAUAAGCGAUGGAAACGUCGUCUAAGACCCCGUAACAACAGAGUUCGCAUGGAUUUUGUUUGAAAGCUUCGGCGGCCACGGAUUGGCUCGCGUCCCAUUAGGCAGUUGGCGGGGUAACGGCCCACCAAACCGACGAUGGGUAGGGGUUCUGAGAGGAAGGUCCCCCACAAUGGAACUGAGACACGGUCCAUACUCC